This 350-nucleotide ribosomal RNA is filed under the name uncultured bacterium. RNAcentral's name for it is "bacterial SSU rRNA". It matches the Rfam family "Bacterial small subunit ribosomal RNA", at positions 355 to 722 of the family's 1533-position model. The record is from RNAcentral.
UGGGGAAUAUUGGACAAUGGGGGAAACCCUGAUCCAGCAAUGCCGCGUGUGUGAUGAAGGCCCUAGGGUUGUAAAGCACUUUCAAUGGUGAAGAUGAUGACGGUAGCCAUAGAAGAAGCCCCGGCUAACUUCGUGCCAGCAGCCGCGGUAAUACGAAGGGGGCGAGCGUUGUUCGGAAUUACUGGGCGUAAAGGGCGCGCAGGCGGUCAAUCCAGUCAGGUGUGAAAGCCCCGGGCUCAACCUGGGAACUGCACUUGAUACUGAUUGACUAGAAAACGGAAGAGGGCAGUGGAAUUCCCAGUGUAGAGGUGAAAUUCGUAGAUAUUGGGAAGAACACCAGUGGCGAAAGC